This 496-nucleotide ribosomal RNA is filed under the name uncultured bacterium. RNAcentral's name for it is "partial 16S ribosomal RNA". It matches the Rfam family "Bacterial small subunit ribosomal RNA", at positions 28 to 506 of the family's 1533-position model. The record is from RNAcentral.
GACGAACGCUGGCGGCGUGCCUAAUACAUGCAAGUUGAGCGCUGAAGGUUGGUACUUGUACCGACUGGAUGAGCAGCGAACGGGUGAGUAACGCGUGGGGAAUCUGCCUUUGAGCGGGGGACAACAUUUGGAAACGAAUGCUAAUACCGCAUAAAAACUUUAAACACAAGUUUUAAGUUUGAAAGAUGCAAUUGCAUCACUCAAAGAUGAUCCCGCGUUGUAUUAGCUAGUUGGUGAGGUAAAGGCUCACCAAGGCGAUGAUACAUAGCCGACCUGAGAGGGUGAUCGGCCACAUUGAGACUGAGACACGGCCCAAACUCCUACGGGAGGCAGCAGUAGGGAAUCUUCGGCAAUGGACGAAAGUCUGACCGAGCAACGCCGCGUGAGUGAAGAAGGUUUUCGGAUCGUAAAACUCUGUUGGUAGAGAAGAACGUUGGUGAGAGUGGAAAGCUCAUCAAGUGACGGUAACUACCCAGAAAGGGACGGCUAACUACGU